RNAcentral lists this ribosomal RNA (518 nucleotides) under Candida albicans. RNAcentral's name for it is "eukaryotic LSU rRNA". The stretch from base 143 to 296 matches the Rfam family "5.8S ribosomal RNA". The record is from RNAcentral. Lineage: Eukaryota; Fungi; Ascomycota; Pichiomycetes; Serinales; Debaryomycetaceae.
AAUAGGGAUUGGCUUAGUGCACCACAUGUGUUUUUCUUUGAAACAAACUUGCUUUGGCGGUGGGCCCAGCCUGCCGCCAGAGGUCUAAACUUACAACCAAUUUUUUAUCAACUUGUCACACCAGAUUAUUACUAAUAGUCAAAACUUUCAACAACGGAUCUCUUGGUUCUCGCAUCGAUGAAGAACGCAGCGAAAUGCGAUACGUAAUAUGAAUUGCAGAUAUUCGUGAAUCAUCGAAUCUUUGAACGCACAUUGCGCCCUCUGGUAUUCCGGAGGGCAUGCCUGUUUGAGCGUCGUUUCUCCCUCAAACCGCUGGGUUUGGUGUUGAGCAAUACGACUUGGGUUUGCUUGAAAGACGGUAGUGGUAAGGCAUCUAUCCCUUUGACAAUGGCUUAUGACUAACCAAAAAGAUUGCGGGCGGGAGGUCCAUCCACCAUAUAUAUAAACAAUCUCAGCAAACAAAUCAGGACAGACUACCCGCUGAAGCUAAUCUAAACAAUAAAGGGAAAGCAUAAUGU